This 499-nucleotide ribosomal RNA is filed under the name Amamiku amamensis. RNAcentral describes it as "partial 16S rRNA". It matches the Rfam family "Bacterial large subunit ribosomal RNA", at positions 1851 to 2597 of the family's 2925-position model. The record is from RNAcentral. Lineage: Eukaryota; Metazoa; Arthropoda; Malacostraca; Decapoda; Potamidae.
AAUUUGGCCUGCCCCCUGAUCGUAAGGUAUUAAAGGGCCGCAGUAUUAUAACUGUGCAAAGGUAGCAUAGUCAUUAGGUUUUUAAUUAGAAUCUUGUAUGAAUGGUUGGACAAAAGAAAGACUCUCUUUAUAUUAAUGUUGAAUUUAACUUUUAAGUGAGAAGGCUUAAAUAAACUAAGGGGACGAUAAGACCCUAUAAAACUUUAUAUUAUAAUUAUAUUUUGACGAAUUUGUAUUAAAUAAAGAUUUAGUUUAAUUAUUUAUUGUGUUGGGGAGACAUAAGUAAAAUAUUAUUUUAACUGCUUGAAAUUUAUACAAUUAUUUGUGAGUAGUAAAAGAUCCUUUUUAAAGAUUAAUAGAUUAAGUUACUUUAGGGAUAACAGCGUAAUUUCUUUUGAGAGUUCUUAUCGAUAAAGAAGGUUGCGACCUCGAUGUUGAAUUAAAAAAUCUAUAUAAUGAAGAAGUUAUAUAAGAAGGUCUGUUCGACCUUUAAAAUUUU